RNAcentral lists this ribosomal RNA (2081 nucleotides) under Gennadas tinayrei. RNAcentral describes it as "SSU rRNA". It matches the Rfam family "Eukaryotic small subunit ribosomal RNA". The record is from RNAcentral. Lineage: Eukaryota; Metazoa; Arthropoda; Malacostraca; Decapoda; Benthesicymidae.
AGUCAUAUGCUCGUCUCAAAGAUUAAGCCAUGCAUGUCUAAGUACACACCGUUUUAAGGUGAAACCGCGGACGGCUCAUUAAAUCAGAUAUAAUUCACAAGAUGGUCCUUCCCACUUACUUGGAUAACUGUGGUAAUUCUAGAGCUAAUACAUGCCUUGAGUCUCUGACAGCAAUGGAGGAGCGCUUUUAUUAGAACACAGACCCUUCGAUCGUCCCUUCACGGGGACUUUCGUUUGACUUGUGGAAUCUAGAUAACCUAUGCUGAGCGCACGGCCUUGUGUCGGCGCCGCAUCUUACAAGUGUCUGCCCUAUCAGCUCUCGAUUGUAGGUUAAACGCCUACAAUGGCUACAACGGGUAACGGGGAAUCAGGGUUCGAUUCCGGAGAGGGAGCCUGAGAAACGGCUACCACAUCUAAGGAAGGCAGCAGGCGCGCAAAUUACCCACUCCCGGCACGGGGAGGUAGUGACGAAAAAUACUGUUGCGAGACUCAUUCGAGGCUUCGCAAUUGGAAUGAGUACACUUUAAAUCCUUGUACGAGGAUCGAGUGGAGGGCAAGUCUGGUGCCAGCCGCCGCGGUAAUUCCAGCUCCACUAGCAUAUAUUAAAGUUGUUGCGGUUAAAACGCUCGUAGUUGGCUCUCUGCCCGGACUGUCGGUUCGCCUUAGCGGCGCUACUGUUCAGCUCUGGGCUAAUUCCGUCGAUAGCUGCGGGCUGCUCUUGACCGAGUGGCCCAAAGUGGUCGGCAUGUUUACCUUGAAAAAAUUAGAGUGCUCAGAGCAGGCUACUUGCCUGAAUAGACUAGCAUGGGAUAAUAGAACAGGACGACGGUUCUAUUCCAGUAAGGGUUCUUGGAACCCGUCGUAAUGAUUAAGAGAAGCGGACGGGGGCAUUCGUACUGCGUGGCUAGAGGUGAAAUUCUUAGACCCUCGCAUGACGAUCUAAAGCGAAAGCAUCUGCCAAGGACGUUUUCAUUGAUCAAGAACGAAAGUUAGAGGUUCGAAGGCGAUCAGAUACCGCCCUAGUUCUAACUAUAAACUAUGCUGACUAGCGAUCCGUCAUAGCUACUCCCAUGGCCUGGCGGGAAGCUUCCGGGAAACCAAAGUCUUUGAGUUCCGGGGGAAGUAUGGUUGCAAAGCUGAAACUUAAAGGAAUUGACGGAAGGGCACCACCAGGAGUGGAGCCUGCGGCUCAAUUUGACUCAACACGGGGAAACUUACCAGGCCAGGACACUGGAAGGAUUGACAGAUUGAAAGCUCUUUCUUAAUUCGGUGGGUGGUGGUGCAUGGCCGUUCUUAGUUGGUGGAGUGAUUUGUCUGGUUAAUUCCGAUAACGAACGAGACUCUAGCCUAUUAACUAGCCGCUGGACCUGCUUGGGCCUUGGCCUUGUGUCUCGGUUCAUAAAACCACUACAGUGCGUGUGUUCAAACUUGGUCCGGAGAGCCCGAAAAGGCCUUGGAGGCGGACUCAUUCAACCGGGUUGAGGGACCGAUGCGUCGAUGAGGGUAGCUCUAGGGUCAAACCGAAAAGCUAUUCUUGGAGUGUUGGAAACUUUUUCCGGGAGUCUUGCCAAUAGGGUUGAGGGCUUCGAAGGUCAGGGGCGACACCGUGCGUCAUUAGUGGCGUCCAGAUGGUUGUCUUCUUAGAGGGAUAAGCUGCAGCAAAUAAUUUACUAGCAGCACGAGAGAUUGAGCCAUAACAGGUCUGUGAUGCCCUUAGAUGUCCUGGGCCGCACGCGCGCUACAAUGGAAAGUUCAACGAGCUUUCCUGCUCCGACAGGAGUGGGUAAUCUUGUGAAAGCUUUCCUUAAAGGGGAUUGGGGCUUGCAAUUAUGCCCCAUGAACGAGGAAUUCCCAGUAGGCGCAAUUCACCAGAUUGUACCGAUUUAGUCCCUGCCCUUUGUACACACCGCCCGUCGCUACUACCGAUUGAAUGGCCUAGUGAGGGCAUCGGACUGGCGCUCUUGGAGAGGUAUGUCGUGGCUUGAGUCUUGGCUUCGGUCGAGGUCUCGGUCAUGGCAGGAACCGCCUCGAGUUGACGGAAAGAUGUCCGAGCUGGGUCAUUUAGAGGAAGUAAAAGUCGU